GACCGCAGGAGCUGCGAAGUCCCCAC
RNAcentral lists this non-coding RNA (26 nucleotides) under Homo sapiens (human). Lineage: Eukaryota; Metazoa; Chordata; Mammalia; Primates; Hominidae. The record is from RNAcentral.